Molecule: ribosomal RNA, 253 nt
Filed under: uncultured bacterium
Lineage: Bacteria
Description: partial 16S ribosomal RNA
Rfam family: Bacterial small subunit ribosomal RNA
Source: RNAcentral
UACGGAGGGGGCUAGCGUUGUUCGGAAUUACUGGGCGUAAAGCGCACGUAGGCGGCUUUGUAAGUUAGAGGUGAAAGCCCGGGGCUCAACUCCGGAAUUGCCUUUAAGACUGCAUCGCUAGAAUUGUGGAGAGGUAAGUGGAAUUCCGAGUGUAGAGGUGAAAUUCGUAGAUAUUCGGAAAAACACCAGUGGCGAAGGCGACUUACUGGACACAUAUUGACGCUGAGGUGCGAAAGCGUGGGGAGCAAACAGG